Molecule: long non-coding RNA, 548 nt
Organism: Passer domesticus (house sparrow)
Lineage: Eukaryota; Metazoa; Chordata; Aves; Passeriformes; Passeridae
Exons: 3
Source: RefSeq, a predicted model, not a curated record
CGAGAUCGCGCGAGGCUUCGCGGAGAGGGCGGAAGUAGCCAGGAGCAGGCAGUCCUACUCUCGCGAUAGCAAUGACGAGAGCGCGGGCGGAGCUGCCGCUUCACUUUUGCAGUGAUCCAAGGAAUCUGUGAUGACUACAACUUGGAUUUCAGUGCUUUCUAUGCCUGGAUUGGACUGUGGAACAGCUUCUUCCUUGUGAUCUACUCCCUCUUUAAUGUCAGCCUCCUGAUGAAGCUCUUUAAAAGGGAGGAAGAGAGGACAAGAGAGAGAGAGGAGGAAGAAGGAGGGAGGACAGAAAGAAGGAAAGAAGCAGGAAAGAAGCAGAGCUCUGGGUUCAAGAGAGCAGCCUGCAGCUCUUUGAAUGGUCUUGCCAUCCACUUGCUCUCCAUCUCCUUGUGUUGCCCUAGGGGGUGUUCCCUGACAGCACAGGACCUGCCAACAGCAGGGAAACUCCACAUUGACUUCAGCAGAGGGUAAAAAGUGUUUCAGUCCUAACCAAAGCACACUGGGUUUUCAAUUAAAAACACCCCCAAACAGCUGUGAGUUAU